GGCUUAUUGAUAAUAAUUUUAAGUCUAACCYCCCGCYGAAAUUUUGAAGGGCCGCGGUAUUUUGACCGUGCAAAGGUAGCAUAAUCAUUAGUUUUUUAAUUGAAAGCUGGAAUGAAGGGUUGAAUAAAAAAAUUACUGUCUCUAUUAUAAUUAUUGAAUUUUAUUUUUAAGUAAAAAAGCUUAAAUUUAAUUAAAAGACGAGAAGACCCUAUAGAGUUUAAUUUUUUAUUAAAUAAAUUUUUUUAGAAUUAAAUAAAAUAUUUUUUUAUAAAAAUUUAAUUGGGGUGAUUUAAAAAUUUAAUAAACUUUUUUUUAUUAUUAACAAUAAUAAUUGAAUUAAUGAUCCAAAAUUUUUGAUUAUAAGAUUAAAUUACCUUAGGGAUAACAGCGUAAUUUUUUUUGAGAGUUCUUAUUGAAAAAAAAGUUUGCGACCUCGAUGUUGGAUUAAAAUUUAAUUUUGGUGCAGAAGCUAAAAAUUUAAGUCUGUUCGACUUUUAAAAUUUUACA
Molecule: ribosomal RNA, 507 nt
Filed under: Lathropus vernalis
Lineage: Eukaryota; Metazoa; Arthropoda; Insecta; Coleoptera; Laemophloeidae
Description: partial 16S ribosomal RNA
Rfam family: Archaeal large subunit ribosomal RNA (bases 381-507)
Source: RNAcentral